AUGAACGCUGGCGACGUGGAUAAGGCAUGCAAGUCAAGGGGCCCUUCGGGGCACCGGCAGACGAGGUAGUAACACGUGGGUACUCACCCUUUAGUCAGGGAUAACUGCGGGAAACCGUAGCUAAUAUCUGAUAGUCCCUUCGGGGUAAAGAUUUAUCGCUAAAGGAGAGGCCUGCGGGGUAUCAGCUUGUUGGUAGUGUAAAAGACUACCAAGGCUAUGACGCCUAGGGGAGGUGAGAGCCUGACCCCCACCGAUGGCACUGAGACACGGGCCAUACACCUACGGGUGGCCGCAGUCGAGAAUCUUCCGCAAUGGGCGAAAGCCUGACGGAGCGACGUCGCGUGGUGGAUGGAGUCCUUCGGGAUGUAAACACCUUUUAUGAGGGAGGAAGUUUAUUGACGUUACCUCAUGAAUAAGGGGUUGCUAAACUCGUGCCAGCAGCAGCGGUAAUACGAGUGCCCCAAGCGUUAUCCGGAAUCACUGGGCGUAAAGGGUGCGCAGGCGGCCAUGUUAGUCUCUUGUUAAACCUUCGGGCUCAACCCGAAGCUCGCAAGGGAAACGGCAUGGCUAGAGGACAGGAGAGGUGUGCAGAACUCACGGUGUAGGGGUGAAAUCCGUUGAUAUCGUGGGGAAUACCAAAAGCGAAGGCAGCACACUGGCCUGUAUCUGACGCUCAUGCACGAAAGCGUGGGGAGCGAAAGGGAUUAGAUACCCCUGUAGUCCACGCCCUAAACGAUGUUCUCUGGCUCUUCGGAGUAUCGACCCUCUGGGGGGCGAAGCUAACGCGUUAAGAGAGCCGCCUGGGUAGUACGAGCGCAAGCUUAAAACUCAAAGGAAUAGACGGGGACUUGCACAAGCGGUGGAUCAUGUGGUUUAAUUCGACGCUAAGCGAAGCACCUCACCAGGGCUUGAAACCUAGUUGAAAAUCUCUAGAAACAGAGACCUUCUUCGGACAAUUAGGCAGGUGAUGCAUGGCCGUCGUCAGUUCGUGGUUUGAAUUGUUCCCUUAAGUGGGGUAACGAACGCAACCCUCAUUGCCAGUUACAAGUG
RNAcentral lists this ribosomal RNA (1050 nucleotides) under uncultured Parcubacteria group bacterium. RNAcentral's name for it is "bacterial SSU rRNA". It matches the Rfam family "Bacterial small subunit ribosomal RNA", at positions 29 to 1123 of the family's 1533-position model. The record is from RNAcentral.